Molecule: transfer RNA, 75 nt
Filed under: Alosa alosa (allis shad)
Lineage: Eukaryota; Metazoa; Chordata; Actinopteri; Clupeiformes; Clupeidae
Description: tRNA-OTHER
Source: RNAcentral
GCAACCGUGGCCUACUGGUUAGCGCUUCGGACUUGUAACCGGAGAGUUGCCGGUUCGAACCCCGACCAGUAGGCA